Molecule: long non-coding RNA, 16855 nt
Filed under: Gossypium barbadense (sea-island cotton)
Lineage: Eukaryota; Viridiplantae; Streptophyta; Magnoliopsida; Malvales; Malvaceae
Description: long non-coding RNA (GBAR_LNC004951)
Rfam family: Plant small nucleolar RNA R71 (bases 12781-12887)
Source: RNAcentral
AAGAAUAAAGCAAAUGGUUGUGUUUUAGGGUUUAGCAUCUUCAUGGCUCAAUUUGUAAGUGUUUUGAGCUUGGUUUUUGAUGAUUUAUAUGUUUUUGUGAUCGUUGCUUUGUGUUCUAGCUAGCCCGUACCCUAAUUUCUAAAUUUUUUGAUGAAUAUGUGAGUUGCCAUUGAUGAUAGCUUGAUGUUUUUGAGUGUUGAUGAUGGAAAAUAAAUCAUUGUUGUUAGAUUAACAAGUUUUAUAAAGUGAUUUUUUGACAAAAAUGUUAAUUAGGUAUUAAAUUGAAAAAAUGUGAAAUAUUGUGGUUAAGUGUGAAAUAAAUGAAAAUAUGGGCUGCUAUGAAGUUGUAUUAAAUUUGGCUAGGCUUGGGUUUGGCCAAAAUUGAAUGAAUUUCAUUUUACGAGCUUAGGGACUAAAUUAUAAAAGUGUGAAACUUUAGGGGCAAAUUCAUAAUUUUUCAAAAUGUGUAAAUUAUGUUAAAUUGAAUGAAUUAAUGAUUAAAUAAGUAAAUUUUUUUAUUAUAUAGAUUUAGAAAAAAAUGAGAUUCGGAUCUAGAACGGAGGAAAACAAAGUAUUGGACUAGUCGAUCCGUUCCGUCGUUUUAACGAUCGAGGUAAGUUCGUAUGUAAUAAGCAUUUUUAAAUUUAUGCUUUUAAUUAUUUGACAUUGUAUAAAUUGUAUAUACAUGACUCUUGUUAUGUUUAACGACAUAUCGGCUAAGAAUGGCACUUAGUGUGCGGUUUGAAAUAGCUUCGGCUAAAUGUGGCACUUGGUGUGUGAUUUAAGAUAGCUUCGGCUAUAUAUAUAUACAUAUAUGUGGCACUUAGUGUGUGAAAUAUUGAGAAUGACACUUGGUGUGCAAGAUAUUGAGUAUGGCACUUAGUGUGCGAGACAUCGAAGAUGCAACGGCAUUAUGUGUAUGUAUGAAAUGGUAAGGAUCGGUACAGGUAUGUAUGCAAAACUCAUGAGAAAUGAUUUUGGUUUAUGAUGCAUCUUUGUAAUGAAGUAAAUAAGUAAGUCAUGCUUAUGAGAAUGAUCUUGUGAUGACCUUGUGAUUAUGGGUCCAUGCUUGUGUUGUAUAAAUAUGUAUUUAUACCAUGAUGGUUGAAAUGAUUUGUAAAGGUGUUAUUAAAGUAAUUAUCAUUAUUUUACACUAAAACAGUUUUGGAUAGCAGUAGCAGUCCAAAUUUGAAAAUUCACCAAAAAUGGUAAAAAUUGAAUUAGUGGUUGCAUAAGAUAUGAAAUUAAAGAUUAUCAAGUCUAGUUUCUUAUAAAGGAAACAGUGUAAGUAAAAGAAUUUUAUAUUAUGAGAUAUUUGAAUUUGUGUAAAACAGAGUCAGAACGAUUUCGAAAUCCCCUGUUCUGAUUUGAGAAAAUCAUUAAAAACUGUAAAAAAUAAUUAUGGGUUAUUAUUUAUAUGCUUAAAAUCCUUAAUGAGUCUAUUUUCAAAAGAAUAUUUUCAAAAGAAAUAAACAGGAACAUCAUCCAAAUCCCGUAUGAGGAGAUAAAUAAUUUUUAGUAAAGAAAGGUCAAAGCUAUCAAAUAGCAGAACAGGGGUAAAUUUGAAGAAUAAACUGUACUUAUUGGCUAAUCCAUAAAUUCUAAAAAUUUUAUGGUAGAAAGAUAUAUGAGUCUAGUUUCAAGGAAAAUUAACAGAUCUUAAUUUAUAAAUCUGUAGCUCAAGUUAUAAAUAAUUUAGUGACUGUUACUCGAGUAGAGAGCUUGACUGAAUUAUGUGCAAUUAUGAUUGUGCUACCUUGAAAACAUGUUGUUAGAAUUUAGCAAAAGCAUGUUAAUAAGUUGCUUAUUAUUUUCAUACGGACUUACUAAGCUAUAUAGCUUACUGCCCUUCCUUUCCCAUCUCUUAUAGGUUUAUUUAGCUAGCUCAGGUUGGAGAUCGCCGGAGAUUCAAUCACACUAUCAAGCUACCAUUUAAGGUAUAAGUAUUCAAGCACUUGAGUUUAUGGCAUGUAUAGGGGCUUAAUCAAUUGUGUAUGUGUCAUUUGAUUUGGCCAAAUGUAUUGCUUAUGAUGAUAUUUUGAUUCAUUUUGUAUAUAUAGCCAUGAGAUGUGGCUUAUAUUGACUAUUUGGGUUGUAAUGUCUAAUUAUAUGUACUUGCAUGUGCCAAAGGUCAUGUGGUGUGACAAUGUUGUUUAAUAUGGAUGGGUGUGUGGAUAUGGUUUAGGUGAUUGAUAAUUAGUUGAUGACAUAAUUGGCAUAAGUAUGAAAUAAGAGAAUGGGUUAAUGAUAGUCAUGGCAUGAAAGUUUGAUAAGUUUAAACUAGGCAAAGUAUGGUACCUUAUGCAUGAAUAAAUUGAUAUGAAAUUGCCAUGAUCAUGACUUGUUUGAUGAUGUUUAAAUGUUAAAUUAUGCCAUGAAAAGUGCCAUUAAAGUUAUGUUUAUGUAUGUGCAAAUGAGGGUGCCAAAUGGCUUGGUAAAUAGCCACUUUCUUGGCCACACGGGCGUGUGACCCUGUUUCAUAAUGAAAUUUUCUAAGUUUUCCCAAAAGUUUUCAAAGUUUUUGGUUUAGUCCCGAGUCAUCUCCGAUGCAUGUUUAGGGCCUUAUAAGCCCAUUUAAGGGACGUUAUACAUAUGUAUAAAUGUUUUUUAUUUGAAUGAAAUUUUAUGGCCCGAUUUUAUGUGAUCAUGUAUGUUUAAGUCCGGUAAUGCCUCAUAUCAUGUCCUGACCUCGGACACGGUUAAGGGGUGUUAAAUUUAGUGGUAUCAGAGCUAUGAUUUAGUCAAUUUUUGGACUAACCUAGCAUAUGUGAAUCUAGCUAUACAUGCCAUAUUACUACUCCUGAUAGUGUGACAUCUCCCGGCUCUAAUGAAAUUGUUUUGUAAGACAGAGAUGACCUCCAACCGAGCUAUUUUUCGAUAAUGCUAAAAAUGAUAUUGAGAUGAUUGAAAUGUGCCUAUGGUGUGCCGAAAUUUGGAAAGGUAUGAAUAGAAGUUUAUGAUAUGUAGGUGUUAAUAUAUGAAAUGAGAUAACUAUAAUUUGAGAAAAGUGGAACCGUAGAAUGAAAUAAAAAUUUAUGUUGUGAUAAGCUUAUCCAUGUGUGUUAGUAUUCGUAUGAUGUUAUGUGCCCAACCUAUCUGAUUAAGUGAAUAUGAUAAGCUAAUUUACUCAAGUUGACGGAAUGUGUGUUUAUGUACACUUAUCAAAUAAUGUAUAAUCAAUGUGUCCAUAUGGUUGAAUCUCAUGCUCAAUUGUUAAAUUAGAGAAUAUAUAAUGUUUCGUUUUAUGACUUUGUUAUGAAAUCAUAAAUAUUAUGAUAGUAUGAAAAUUGAAUUGGAAGAUCAAAUUGAGCAGAAUGCAGAAAAUGAGUACGAUCGUUCGAUGAUAAAUUGACGGAUAAGACCAUGGUUGACCAUGGCAAUAUAUGUAUGCUAGUGUAAGACCAUGUUUGGGACAUGGCAUCGACCACAUUAUGAGAGCCAGUAUAAGACCAUGUCUGAGACAUGGCAUCGGCAUUGAUAUGUGUGCUAGUGUAAGACCAUGUUUGGGACAUGGCAUCGGCCACAUUAUAAGAGCCAGUGUAAGACCAUGUCUAGGACAUGGCAUCGGCAUUGAGACGAGAGCUAGUGUAAGACCAUAUCUGGGAUAUGGCAUCGGUAUCGAUAUAUGAUCCCAUGUAAGACCAUAUCUGGGAUAUGGCAUUGGCAUCUUAUUAUGUGUAUGAGACUUUGUGUAAGACCAUAGUUGGACUAUGGCAUCAAGUGAACAAUGUACUCAAACCCAUAAUACGUUCUCUAAUUUGACAAAUGAUGGUAAGCAAAAUUAAAGCUAAGUGUUGGAACUUAAUUAGACGUUAAUUUGUAGUUCGAGUAAAUGAAUUUGUUGUAUGAAAUUGUGGAUGACAGAAACAUUUGUAAAAUAAAUCAGUAUGUUAAUUUGCUUGGAGUGAACUAUGUGAUUGUGAUGAUAUUAUAUUGACGAUGAAUGUUAAGUCAUAUGUGUGUAUUUAUGAAAGCUAAGUUAGAGGCUUUACAACUCCCCCUUACCAGUGUUGCUUUUGUGACGAAGUUUAUGAGAAUUAUGUUGAAUAAGUUCACAAGUAUGAGACUAAAGAGUUCAAUGGUGGGAUAAUUAGUAAUGCAAACAGAGUAGAGUACAGGGUAACAAAUGAACUCAGUUUUAGAAGAAGUAUCAGAUUGUUUUAAAGAUUAUACAGAUUAUGUAAUGUCAUGGUUAAAGAAGAAAAUUAGUCUCAGCUAUUCGACUCAAUCGGGUAUGAAGUCUAGAGAUAUGCUUACUGAAAUUUCUUCCGAAAUGGUUUUUGUUAAUGAUUGGAAUACUACGGUGUUCAUGAUAAUAAAAUUAGUCAGAGAACUGAUGAUUGAGUUGUAAAGAUUUCUGUGUAUAACAAUUAUGAUUGAAUAGAUUAUGAUGACUUCUUCUGGGUGUUCCAUAUAUUCAAUUGUCCCCAGGGGUUUAUAUGAUCAUUCUCUUUUUGAUGAAAAUCUUAUUGUAUGAAUAUUGGCUGACUUUGAUAGUAGAUGAAAUUACAAUUAUUCUGGUUGGGUUAUCAUCAGUAUUAUCUGAUUGAUCAUUUUAUGAACACUAAACUAGACUACGAUCACGAUAAAGGUAAGCGCACCUAUCGAAUGGUAGUAUAGCUAUGGCGAGUCCAAAGUAUCGUAUCCACAAGGACUAAAAGUACUAGUAAUAACUCUUUUUCUAUUAUUUAGCCAAAAAAAUAAGGGAUUUGUUUUUAACCUAAAAUUUUACUAAACUAAUUAAUUAAUGAACACGACAGAGACAAAAACUGGAAAAUACUUUGGGAAAACCGAUGGAGAAAACAAUACCCAAGGAAGAAUCCACCUAGACUUCACUUAUUACUUCUGAAUUAGACGAUUUAUUCACUUGACUAAUUCCGUAGAAAUCCCUAAUUUAUGUUAAUAUCUCCAUCGAGACUAAAAACAACUGACUCUAGGUUGAUUAAUUGAAAUCUCUUUCUAAUUAAAACCCCUAUUGUCGCAUUAACUCGAUAUAUGGAUUCUCUUAUUAGAUUUGACUCUAAUCAGGCAAAUUUACGUCGUCCUAUGUCUAGGAUUACAUUCAACUCCGCUUAAUUAUGCUAGACCUACUCUUAAAUAGGGACUUUUGCUCUACUGAAUAAGCACAUCAAACUUGGAUUAAUAUUCUGAAAUAUUAAAGGAAGAAUUAAGAACACAUAAUUAAGAAUAAGAACAAGUAUUUAUCAUAUAAUUCAAAUAGUAAUAAGAUCUGUCUUAGAUUUCAUCUCCCUUAGGUAUUUAGGGAGUUUAGUUCAUAAUUAUGGGGGAAAACAUCUCAAAAUAGGGAAAACAACAAAACAUAAAGAAACCCAAGAACUUCGGUAGAAAUUGAAUGGAGAUCUUCAGUCUUGAAGUAAUCCUGCUUUCGAGCUGAUUCCAAUGGCUUUCCUUCGAGUAUUUUCUGCAUUAUGCUCUGCGUGCCCCCCUUUGAUCCUCUUCUAGGGUGUUAUAUAAACUUUAGAAGGCCCAAAAAACCCAAAAUUAGCCUUUUCUAAGUAGAAUUAGACUUGGGCUCGAUAGGGACACAGCCGUGUGGCACGCCCGUAUGAAGGUGCCCAGGCCGUGUGCGCUUUUAAGUUGGCUUUAAGUCGACACAGCCAAGACACACGGACGUGUGGCCAUCCCGUGUGUGUGUAAAUUACCUGUGUGGAAAUAGGCCAGGCCGUGUGAAGCACUAAGGUAGCCCGUUUUGUCCGAUUUUGGUUUUUUUCUUGAACUUUUUGCCCUCCUAUGCUCAUCUGGAUAUAAAACAUGAAAUUAAAAGAUUAGGAGCAUCAAAUCCACUAAAUCUUGUGAUAAUUCAUCCAAAAAUACACUAAGCAUGGGAUUAAAAUAUGUUACUUUUAUGGCUUAUCAAAUAUCCCCACUUAAGCAUUUGCUUGUCCUCAAGCAAAUCCUCAACUUACCAUUAAAAUCAACCAUUCUCAACUUAUAAUUUUCAUCAAUGAUGUUUCGUCAUAAUUGAUAAAUAGUCGCACUUUGAUAAUUCAACUAAAAGAACACUAAAGGCAUAAGUAAUCUAAAUCAAAAUUUCAAAAUGUGAAAACAGAGGUAUUUCCCUUUAUCUAAGUAAUUACCUUUAAUUAAAAUUUUACAAGAGUUGAUAUCCUCACUAAAGAUUCACUCAAAUCACUCAAAGUGUUUAAGGUUCAGAAUUUAAGCACUCAAUAGUCAACAUGAAAAGUCAUUACCAUAGGCUUGCAUGAAAAUAAAAUAUCCACCACUUAAAAUGAGAUGAUACACAAAUCAAAAGGUCUUUUAAAAGGUUGUAAUGGGGCUUAGGUUAAAGGUGUGGAUAAAGGCUGAAAAUGAGGGUUAAAAUCGAGAUAGAGUUGAUAAGUUAUGAAACUAGAUAAAAUAAAUACAUGCGAAAAUACAUGCAAAAUUACAUCAAUUGCAAUAAAUCUAACACGAUCUUCUUCUCAAUUUAUGCAUAUAAUUGUUUGAGCUCUCUAAACAUAGCUACUGAAUAAUCGAUAAAUAUAAACAUGAGUGUAGAUGCUAAUUUUUUUUAAGAGAACAAGUAUAAGUAUUAACUUAACAAAUGAAAUAAAAGAACCAAGUUAGGUAAUAAACCAAAUCUAAUCUCGACAAAAAGGGAAUUAAUAAAAUGGGAUAAAUUCUUAAUGAAUUAAAAAGGUUGAGAUAUGGGUUAACAUUAAUGGAGUAAAUCAAGAAUGGUGUGCUAGGCUCAAAGGGGUUCACUAGGGGUUAACUGUGGAGGUAAGCUUUUAUGGGAUAAGUAGGUUAAAACCUAGGUGCCUUUAUCAUCUCAGUAUAUCAAAUCAAAGGUGUGGUCUCGACAUGUAUAAUCGAUGCAAGUUCUAGAAUAACAGUUCAAUAUCGACACACUCAUAACCAAUAAUAAAAUGAGGAAGAAGAAUGUAUGCUCUUAAAGGCUCAAAAUCUCACAGAAAUUAUGGCUUUUGAUGUCAAUCCUGCAAUUUUUAAAUUUCAAAGUAAUACUUCAAUUUAGGGAAACAACCUAAAAUUUUCAAUUCAAAAAUAUUUCAACUUAUCAUGCUUGAUUCUCUAAUGCCUUAAAGUUUAAACCAUCAACGUACAAUUCUCUAUGAACUUAAUCUACAACAUAUCAAUAAAUAUCACAAGUUAUUGAAAGAUUCACUCUAAUAGUAAUAUGAGAAAAUUACCUAAAUACAAGACAUAAUUCAGGGAUUUUCUGAUAAUCAUAUAAAUAACCUCCCCACAUUUAAGAUGUACAUUGUCCUCAAUGUACAAACAUUGAUAGAUAAUAACAAUAUAAGUGUAAUAUCAUAAAAGAGGGGGAGAAGCGAAACUGCCCUAAAUUGUUUUGGAUGAAGUCCUUGGAAUAGUAAAAGGAAAAUUGUAAAUAGGGCCAAUGAAAGGUAUGAUUCUGAGUUACUAAUAAGAAAAUAAACACAACUGUGGAAGAGAAUGAAGGGGUUAGAACUCGAUUAGGAACAUAUAGUUCAAAAUAUAAAAGAAAAAUAAACAUAAAAAUAAAAAAAUAGAAAUAGAAAUAAAUGGACCCAGUUUUCACACAACCUAGGACAUGCCCGUGUGUCCUGGCUGUGUGGUUCACACGAUCGUGUCGCACGACCAUGUACUCUUCUUCGCUUCUCCCACGCCUUUGUGGUCUCCAACACACCUGUGUGUCUGAACACACGGUCGUGUGUAACACCUUAAACCCGGCCUAGACGUUACGACCGAAUCUAGCGUGUCACAUCGAAGCAUUUUUCAAAAAUUGAUCUUAUCGGUAAAAAUCUAUUAACGAAGGUAAAUCCUUUAAUUGUUGUUUUAAAAGAGUUUGCAUCAAAAUGUUUAAUUUAUUGAUCAUUGGUGUUACUUUUAGAUUCGUUAAAUAAAAAGGCAGAAGCUCUAUAGGUCGAUGAAAUUUGAAUCGCGUGUUUCAGAAAAUAAUAUUUGUUUUGAAAACCCGCCAGUACCUAGUCUAGCAGUUUAAAAUAUAAUUCAAAAUCCCAAUUAAACUUAAACCCAUAAAUGGCCUUAUUAAAUGUUCAAAACCUAAAAAGGAAAUUCAAUGCAACCGUGUGGCCACCUCCGAGUCCCUCGCGGCUCCAAAUCGCCUAAAGCUGGGGAUUACCUGCGCAGUUAAAAGAAAGGGUGGGUUUACGAAAACUCAGUGUGUAGUCUCCUAUCAGUAAAUUGAUAAACAAUAUGUGCAAAAUAGUCUGGGCCUCAGCCCUAUUCAGUACCAGUACAGUCCAGGCCUUAGCCCUAUACAGCAACAGUGUGGGCCUAAGCCUAAUACAAUAACAAUAUGAAAAUAUGCAACCUAUCCCAAAUCUAACUAGCACACCACCCGUACCAACCAGCACACCCAUAUUGCAGCGAGGCUGCCAGUAAUAAUAGCACAGCAUUGCUGCCAGUAAUAAUAAGGGCGGCAAGCCACCAGUAACAGUAAACGUGACAUCGUCACCAGUACAGUACUUCCUCCAUAUCAUAAUCCCAACCCCAUGCGGUAUGUAAUGUCACAAUAAUACAUGCAAUCAAAAUCAUGCUCAAUACAGUCAUACCCAUAUCCUACAGUCAGUCAAUCAACCCACCUCUACGGUUAUAAAAAUCAUUUGCGUUCAUCAGGGUAAAAUAGUAAUUUUACCCCCUUGAGGGUACUUUGGUCAUUUUAUUACUUUUAAAGAUUCGGUACAAAUAGCAAUCUCUUAAAAGGUCUGUCGUCGCCUCGAGCGACUCAGAUAACUUAAAUGGUCAUGACGGUGUAAAUGGGCCCAAGUGGGCCCACACGCUCGUGUGGCCCAAUUAGCCCAAUUCCAGUUGCAAAAAUGCGAUCAUUAUCGUCCACUCUAUUAUUUGACACCUACCGUAACUUUUGUCCGUGUGGGGCCCAUGAGCCCAUUAGGCCCAUACGGACCAUGUUGGCCCAACGAGGCCCACGACUUGAGCCCACGAGAACACUCGGGGCGGUCUUUAUAGUCUGUUGUCCCUGAUUUAUGGCUCGGUUUACCCCACGUGCUUUCGCACGCUCGUGAGGCCUCAAAUGCUGAAGUUUCGGCUUUUCAGCUUUUCGACUUUUGUCGAUUCAUAGUAACAAAGUGGUGUAAAUACACACCUAUAUCCAACAUUCGAUAAUAGAAAAUUAGGCGAACGAUUACAUACCUUGAUUGCGAAAGUGAAAGAGAAUUCCCCUACGAGUCCAAAGCCUACAAUCAAUCCAACAACCAGUUAAACUCUACUAAAACAAUCGCAACAAUUAAUUCUAACCCAAUUCUCCUACUAACCUUGAUCGCAAAGAGGGUGGCCAACUGUGCCUAAAAUAGUUAGGAUCUAUCUCACGCUUUGACGAGAAUCUGAGUUCUAAGCAGAUCUAGAUAGUCAGUAACAACUACCAUCCUAUUAACACAAAAGUACAGAUUCGGCUAAACCCCAAGCAAUGAGAUGGCAUACUACCUUAGUCGAAUACUUGAGGGGAAAGGCUGUGGUUUCUUUAACCCUGCUUGCACACCACUACUCCUUGAAGAACCUUAAACAAAAUAUGAAAGGAAUCAUAAAUCGAUACCUGAUAAACAGGAAGAAAACAUUCGGCUAAAAAAGAAUGGAAGGAAGCAUAACCUCAACCCUUACCAAACUUCAGAGAAUCCUAGCGCAACAUAAGAAGAACAGGGAAGUAUUCGACCAAUUCCUAAAUAGCAGAGUAACCGACGAUGGUUAGCUAUAAAGAUAAAGGGUAUUCGGCCUCAAGAGAAAAGAGUAUGUCAAAAGGAAAUAGAAGAAAAGAAUAAGGUAAGAAGAUGAAGAGAAGAUUCGGCUAGCAAAGAAAUCAAGAGAAAGUCAAAUAGCGAGAGAGGAGAAAAUGAGGAGAAAAUAAGGUCUUGGAUGAGGCAAUAAUCGGUCAAGGGUUGGAAGAAAAGAGAGACUCGACACUAGGGAAAAUAUAUACCAAAACGCCAAAAGAUAAAAUCCUGAAAAUAGAAGAGGAAUAAUUCGGCUCCUACCCCCACACCAAAUGCUGAAAUGCACCAAAUGAGUUCCCUUAGCCGAAUUUGUACAAAAGAGUUGCCCAAUUCGGCCACAACACUACUCCCCUCCAAAUCCCUUGAAACUCUCUUCAAAACUCUCCUUGAUAUCCUCCACAAUCGUCUCCUAACAACUAAAGACCAAUUCAAACUCCCACCACACAGAAUCCUACUUCAGUUCAACCACUUGUCGUCUACAAGUGCAAAAUAAAUGCCCCUUGUUUGCCAUGGGGUUCGAACCCUCUCCCAACAGCUAUGUAACGUCACCACCACUAAGCCAGAAGGCUUUUUAUGACGCAACACAACCACAAUUAUUUAUAAAGCCUAAGUGCCAGCAUCUAGGUUCUUUUAAAGCAAAAAUCAAAAAUUCUGCAAAAGCUGGAGCUUGAACCCAGGACUUCCUAGACACCCCCAAACACACCCCAAACCACUUAGCUGCUAACGUAACAUGAGAAUUAUGCCAAAACAUGCCAAAAAAUUACAGACCCUAAAUCUCGAGGCGUUACAGUGUGUGCCUUACCCGUGGAGCUCCCUAACUUGUUUUAAAAUAAAAAAAAUUUAGCUACAGUUUUCAUACGGCAUAGGACACGCCCAUGGGGGCUGGCCGUGCAGUUCACACGGCCGCGUGAUUUGUCGAUGGUUGGGAAAUUUUGGCCUUGUGAAACACGCCCAUGUUUCUCGGCCGUGUGGGUCACUGUACUUGUAUGAAAACAUAAAAAAAUAGAUAAAAUAAAUAGUUAAUGGUGUUAGUGCUCGGGUUGCCUCCCGAGAAGCACUUAUUUAGAGUCUAAGCUCAAUUUAUCUCUCAUUCGCAUGGUCAUAGUGGUUUGAGGAGUUGAAACUUCUCAUUCCUCCUAUCAAUCUUAUCAAAAUAAGGUUUUAGAUUAGUACUAUUUACCUUAAAAGUGCCGAAUUUAAAAUGAGUUACCUCGACUGUACCGUAUGGGAAAACAUUGAGUACCGUAAAAGGGAUUGCUCCAUUAGGUUCAGACGUCGCAACACGAGGGUCUGCUUCAUCUAACAGUAUUUUGUCUCCAACCUUAAGUUGAUUCGAUAAAACUUUGAGUCCGUCAUGACGCGGCUUUAGUUCAUCGUGUGUUCUUAGUUUUUGUGUCAGCUAUUCAUCUAGUUCCUCGAUCUGUAGCCUUCCUCUUCAUAGAUGGAUCCUUUGUUGUUACUUGAACGUGGCUCAUUUAUGCUCUCCGAACGUGUUUCCUGUAAAAAAGUUUGCACCACAUGGUCAGUAUUAGUAGCAUGAUUUAUACAACAACCUUCACUACUUGAUGUCUUAAUCAAAUCACAAGCCUGAAGAGUGAUCGUUUCAUCACCUACACGAAGUGUGAGUUCACCUGUACCAACAUCAAUAAUAGUUCUAGCAGUUGCUAAAAAGGGUCGUCCUAAAAUCAAAGGCACAUCACUAUCCUCUUCUAUAUCUAGAAAAACAAAAUCAAUUAGGAAUAUAAAUUUGUCGAUUUUAACAAGAACAUCUUCAAUUAUACCCCUAGGAAAUCUAAUUGUUUUAUCAGCCAAUUGAAUGUUCAUCCUAGUUUGUUUGGGUUUCCCAAGACCUAGUUGUUUAAAAAUUUUAUAAGGCAUAACAUUAAUGCUUGCCCAUAAAUUAGCCAAAGCAUUGCUAACAUUUAAACUACCAAUUAAGCAAGGAAUCGUAAAACUCCUUGGAUCUUUUAGCUUGAGGGGUAGUUUGUUCCGUAGAAUAGCUGAGCAAACUGCGUUUAAUUCCACAUGUGAAGAAUCGUCUAACUUCCGUUUAUUUUCCAGAAGCUCCUUUAAAAAUUUAACUGAAUUGGGCAUCUGCGAAAGAACUUCAAUAAACGGUAAGUUAAUAUGUAAUUUUUUAACAGUUUAAGGAAUUUACAGAAUUGUUCAUUUGUGUGGUCUUUCCUUGUCGCAUUCAGGUAUGGCACACGAAGUGUAUACUCCUUACUUACUGGUUUCGGUUCAUUAUGGCCCACCUCAACCUUACCUUUACUUACCACAAGUUCUUGCAUUGAUUCUGGUUCAGGUUCAACUAACCCAUCUUCAUCUUGAACAGUAAUCGCGUGGAGUUACUCUCUUGGGUUAGUUUUGGUAUUGCUAGGCAAGCUACCUUCUUUCUGAGAUUAGCUUAGCCAACUGACUUAUUUGAGUUUCGAGUCCUUGAAUUGAUGCUUGCUGAUUUUUAAGCGUUGUUUCAGUGUUUUGGAAACGUGUUUCUAACACCAAGAUAAAUUUCGUUAGCAUCUCUUCUAGGUUCGACUUCUUUUCCUAUUGGUAAGGUGGUUGAAAACCUGGAGGGGGUUGCAGUCUUUGAUUUCCUUGGCCUCCCCAUGAGAAAUUGGGGUGGUUCCUCUAACCUGCAUUGUAAGUGUUACUAUAAGGAUUAUUCUGAAGUCUAAAAUUGUUACCCAUAUAGUUGACUUGGUUGCUUUCUGUGCUAAAGUUGUAAGGUGGAUAUUCUGGGUUAUGCAUCCCUCCUCCAUUUAUAUCGCACUGCAUUACUGGAUGUACCUGUGAGGAACCAUACAAACCAUCAAUUUUCUUAUUUAAAAGAUCUAUUUGGUUUGAUAGCAUGGUGACAGCGUCGAGGUUGAAAACACCGGCUAUUUUUGUUGGCUUUGUUCUCAUGACUUGCCACUGAUAAUUAUUCAAUGACAUCUCCUCUAUAAACUCAUAAGCAUCCUCGGGUGCUUUAUUAUUUAUGGUGCCACCGGCUGCUGCAUCGAUCAUCUGUCUAGUUGAAGGCUUCAAACCGUUGUGAAAAGUUUGAACCUGUAGAUAUAGCAGUAACCCAUGGUAAGGGCACCUUCUCAAUAAAUCCUUGUAUCUCUCCCAUGCAUCAUACAGUGUCUCCAAAUCCAUUUGCAGAAAAGAAGAGAUAUCAUUCCUCAACUUAACCGUCUUAGCUGGCGGAAAAUAUUUAAGUAGAAAUUUUUCGGUUGUCUGUUCUCAUGUAGUGAUGGACCCUCGCAGUAACAAGUUCAACCAUUGUUUGGCUUUACUCCUCAAUAACAAGGGAAAUAACCGAAGGCGAAUGGCAUCAUCAAAAAUGCCAUUUAUCUUAAAAGUGUCGUAGAAUUCCAUAAAAUUUGCUAAAUGAGUAUUUGGAUCCUAGUCCUGCAAACCAUCAAACAGUCUGUUGUAUCAUUUGAAUCGUGUUAGGUUUCAGUUCAAAAUUAUUUACAGCAACAGCAGGUCUAACUAUACUUGAUUCAGUUCCUGUUAAAGUAGGCUUAGCAUAAUCAUACAUAGUACGAGGAGUAUGAUUCUGAUUCACUAGAUUUGCAGCAACCACAAGAGGUAGCGGAUUGUUCUGAUUUUCAGCCAUAUUGGGAUUGUCCUCUUGCUCUUCCUCUAUAUACUGUAGACUACUCCUAAUUUCUCUACGAUUUCUACGAGCUACGCUUUCAAUCUCACUAUCAAAUAGUAAUGGUCCUGACGGGUUCCUUCUAGUCAUAAACUAUAAAAAUCUGCCAGAAGCCUAGAAAAGAAAAAUUAGUAAUAAUAAAAAUAAAAAUAAAUUACAGUAAAAAUAAAAAUGGCUAAAGUAAUAAAAAUUAAACGUUCCUAAUAUCUGAAUCCCCAGCAACGGCGCCAAAAACUUGAUUGAUCAUUUUAUGAACACUAAACUAGACUACGAUCACGAUAAAGGCAAGCACACCUAUCGAAUAGUAGUAUAGCUAUGGCGAGUCCAGAGUAUCGUAUCCAUAAGGACUAAAAGUACUAGUAAUAACUCUUUUUCUAUUAUUUAGCCUAAAAAAUAUAAGGGAUUUGUUUUUAACCUAAAAUUCUACUAACCUAAUUAACUAAUGAACGCGACAGAGACAAAAACUGGAAAAUAGUUUGGGAAAAACGAUGGAGAAGACAAUACCCAAGGAAGAAUCCACCUGGACUUCACUUAUUACUUCUGAAUUAGACGAUUUAUUCACUUGACUUAUUCCGUAGAAAUCCCUGAUUUAUGUUAAUAUCUCCAUCGAGACUAAAAACAACUGACUCUAGGUUGAUUAUUUGUAAUCUCUUUCUAAUUAAAACCCAUAUUGUUGCAUUAACUCGAUCUAUAGAUUCUUUUAUUAGAUUUGACUCUAAUCUGACAGAUUUACGUCAUCCUAUAUCUAGGAUUGCAUUCAACUUCGCUUAAUUAUGCUAGACCUACUCUUAAACAGGGACUUUUGCUCCACUAAAUAAGCACAUCAAACUUGGAUUAAUAUCCUGAAAUAUUAAAGCAAGAAUUAAGAACACAUUAUUAAGAAAAAGAACAAGUAUUUAUCAUAUAAUUCAAAUAGUAUAAGAUCUGUCUUAGAUUUCAUCUCCCAUAGGUAUUUAGGGAGUUUAGUUCAUAAUUAUGGAGAAAAACAUCUCAAAAUAGGGAAAACAACAAAAUAAAGAAACCCAAGAACUUCGGUAGAAAUUGAAUAAAGAUCUUCAGUCUUGAAGUAAUCCUGCUUCCGAGCUGACUCCAAUGGUUUUCCUUCGAGUAUUUUCUGCGUUAUGCUCUAUAUGGCUCCCUUUGAUACUCUUCUAGGGUGUUAUAUAGACUUUGGAAGGCCCAAAAAAACCCAAAAUUAGCUUUUUCCGAGUAGAAUUAGACUUGGGCUCGACAGGGACACGGCCGUGUGGCACGCCCAUGUGAAGGUGCCCAGGCCGUGUGCGCUUCUGAGUUGGCUUUAAGUCGACACGGCCAAGAUACUCGAGCGUGUGGCCAACCCGUGUGUCACACACGGACGUGUAAAUUACCCGUGUAAAAGUGGGCCAGGCCGUGUGAAGCACUAAGGUAGCCCGUUUUGUCCGAUUUUUGUCUUUUUCUUUAACUUUUUGCCCUCCUAUGCUCAUCUAGAUAUAAAACAUGAAAUGAAAAUAUUAGGAGCAUUAAAUCCACUAAAUCUUGUGAUAAUUCAUCCAAAAAUACACUAAACAUAAGUUUAAAAUAUGUUACUUUUAUGGCUUAUCAUUAUCUUAUCUCUCUCUUCGGGAUUCUAUUCUAGUAUGUUCGGAAUAAAGUUGAUGGUGAAAAUUUAUGUGAGACUAUUUAUCUGUAUCUAUUGAAUGAUGUUUCGUCUUAAUUGUAUAUUCGAAAAAUAUGAUACCUCUGUUAAGAUGGAAUUCCAGAGCCGGUAAGCAAUGUUUCUCUUUCAGUUUUCAGUGAGAAAUUAUCCAGAUCUUCAUUAUUAUUUUCUUAUGAGUUAUGCUCUUGGAUUUCUGUUAUGAGAUCGUAUCUAGGGUUUUCUUAGUGUCCCUAUUGCGCGGAUUAUCUGACAUGGCUCAUCUCUAAAAUAUGUUCCUUGUUCUAUUAUGACUGUGCUUAUUAUGAUAAUGUUUCGGGAUUCGAUAAUAAAAAUGGGGAGAUUCUAGCAUCUGGAUUUCUCUGAUUUUCAAGUAAGGAAUUGAAAUCGGCGAAGGUAUGUAUGAUAGAAGCUCGAACUUGAGUUAUAUUGUGGUUUUCUUUUCUUAGGUAAGUUUGACUAAGAUCCGUGAGUUAAUUGGAAUAUUUUUGUUUCCCUGAGUUAAUAUGGUUGCAAGAUCUAUGACUAACAGGUUAAAAGAAUUUUAAAAGAUUAUGUGUUUGAACCGUUUUUCUCAGCAUGAAGAAAAGAGUAUCCUGACAUAUUAUUUUUCGAUAAUUGAAAACAACUCAGUGGUUUUUAUCAGAGUAAACUAAUUUGUUGAGACGUGAUUUGAGCUAAUUGUAUUUGAGCAAGUCUUUUAGUUAAGGGAAUAAGUUUGGUGCAUUCACGAGUAUAUAUGUAGACGGAUAAUUUGAAUAAAGAAAGUAUAUUCUAGAAAUUUUGAUGCAGAGAUAUGCUUAUUCGACUAUUCUAAUGGAGUGAUGUUAUUAUGAGUUAAACUAUUCUAAUUGAUAAAGCUAUCACAUUUGUGAAAGCUUGAAUAAUCUGUGGCAUGUUAGCAAAGUUGAAAAUGGUUGAGAGUAUUACUAACCGAAGUUCUAGUUUCGAGUUUAGUUUGAAUUGAGUAAAGAAUUUAUGAAUUUCAGUGAUGUACUAUUGAACAGAUUGGGAUAAGCUUUAAUACGAGAAUGUAAAGAAGCAGUUUGUGCUUCCAGACAGUUAAAGUCACAAUAAAAGAGAACUUUUUGAUUAGCGAUUUAAAGACGGCCACUUUUAUGUCUGUGUUGUGAAUUCGAUAAUAUCAUGUGUUCGAGAGAAAAUGUUAUAUGCUUCCUGAAUCCUAAUGAGUUAAAGUAUCUAAUGUUACUGAAAAAGAUCUGGAAUUAAGACAGUGUCAAUGAUUUGAGAUAUUGAAAGACUCCAAGUAGUUAUUGAUUAAUCUCUGAGAAAACAGAUAUAGUUACAGAUGCCGAAUGGAAAGAUCUUUGCUUAUUUUGUACGAGUGGUUACUCAAUUGAUCUUAUUUAAUGAUGGUCUGAUGUUAGCUAAAUAAAAAGCUAAAGUGAUGUUUUCUUUAUGAGUUUGAAAAACUCAGAAAUGUGUUAGUGAAUUGCAAGCUAAACAGGUACAGUGUGAAAUGACUUUCGAUUUCGAAUUUCAGAAGUUUUUGCAUGAGGCUCAGUAGUAGAUUGCCUGUUCAUCCGAGAGUAAAAAAUGUACAGUUAUAUGAAGUAGAUGUUUUGGUGUACGGGUAUGAAACUCAGUAUUUCUGAUUCUGUGUUCAGAUGUUGAUUUGUCAAUAGGUUAAAUCCAAAGAUCAAGUGUAUUCAGGUCUAAUACAGUCAGUGAUGGUACGGAUGUGAUAAAGAGAUACAGUCACUAUGGACUUCGUAUUGGGGUUGCCAUUAUCACCAAUAAAAGAGAUGUUAUUUGUAUUGUGAUUGAUUGUUUGGCCAAAAAUCCGCAUGAUUGUUUCAAUAUAUACAGAGUUCCUAUUUGACAGACCAACUGAGCUAUGUG